GUCAGGAUGGCCGAGCGGUCCAAGGCGCUGCGUUCAGGUCGCAGUCCAGUUCUCUGGGCGAGGGUUCGAAUCCCUCCUUCUGACA
This 85-nucleotide transfer RNA is filed under the name Daphnia magna. RNAcentral describes it as "tRNA-Leu". It matches the Rfam family "tRNA". From Rfam's summary of the family: Transfer RNA (tRNA) molecules are approximately 80 nucleotides in length. Lineage: Eukaryota; Metazoa; Arthropoda; Branchiopoda; Diplostraca; Daphniidae. The record is from RNAcentral.